RNAcentral lists this ribosomal RNA (301 nucleotides) under uncultured bacterium. Its description in RNAcentral is "partial 16S ribosomal RNA". It matches the Rfam family "Bacterial small subunit ribosomal RNA", at positions 509 to 808 of the family's 1533-position model. The record is from RNAcentral.
CAGUCGCCACGGGAAUACAGAGGGUGCGAGCGUUAAUCGGAUUUACUGGGCGUAAAGCGUGCGUAGGCGGCUUCUUAAGUCGGAUGUGAAAUCCCUGAGCUUAACUUAGGAAUUGCAUUCGAUACUGGGAAGCUAGAGUAUGGGAGAGGAUGGUAGAAUUCCAGGUGUAGCGGUGAAAUGCGUAGAGAUCUGGAGGAAUACCGAUGGCGAAGGCAGCCAUCUGGCCUAAUACUGACGCUGAGGUACGAAAGCAUGGGGAGCAAACAGGAUUAGAUACCCGCGUAGUCCCUGUCUCUUAACA